GGAGUUUUGUCUUCGGCGGAGACUAAGAGGGGGCACGGGGAUGGGGCUGGGGUGGGGUGGGUGGCAUUGAGAAAAUCGUCUUCGUCUUCGUGCGAGGAGACAAAGGAUUGGACGUAGGCGAUGCCGAAGAAGCUGAUGAGAUAGAUGAGGGAGGCGACGAGGCCGACGACGGCAGAGAUCUCGGCGAGUGUGAGGACGUGGAGGGGGGUGGAGGCGCGGACCUUCUCGCGCCAGCGGGCCAUGAUGUAGUACAUGAGGGCGAAGAAGAGGGCGAGGAAGAGCUUGUUGGUGAGGCCGAUGGGGAGGAGGAGGGCGUCGGAGGCCUGCACACGAAGGGCGGCAGCGCCGCCCGCCGCCCCCGCGGGCUUCCCCGCCGGCGAGGGGUUGGGGCGGUGGCGGCGGCGGA
This 406-nucleotide unclassified non-coding RNA is filed under the name Hevea brasiliensis (rubber tree). Lineage: Eukaryota; Viridiplantae; Streptophyta; Magnoliopsida; Malpighiales; Euphorbiaceae. The record is from RNAcentral.